Molecule: long non-coding RNA, 369 nt
Organism: Oncorhynchus tshawytscha (Chinook salmon)
Lineage: Eukaryota; Metazoa; Chordata; Actinopteri; Salmoniformes; Salmonidae
Source: Ensembl
CACACACACACAGUAGGACUAGAUAUCCCUCUUCCCUGGGAAACUGAAGGUACACACACACACACACACACACACACACACACACACACACACACACACACAGUAGGACUAGACAUCCCUCGUCCCUGGGAAACUGGAGGUACACACACACACACACACACAGUAGGACUAGACAUCCCUCUUCCCUGGGAAACUGGAGGUACACACACACACACACACACACACACACACACACACACACACAGUAGGACUAGACAUCCCUCUUCCCUGGGAAACUGGAGGUACACACACACACAGUAGGACUAGACAUCCCUCUUCCCUGGGAAACUGGAGGUACACACACACACAGUAGGACUAGACAUCCCUCUU